GACGUAGGGUCCAAGCAUUAUCCGGAUUUACUGGGCGUAAAGAGUGCGUAGGUGCUCGUCUUAAUUUCGUCUGAAAGGCUAUGGCUCAACCAUAGAAUUGGACGAAAAAUUGGACGAGUUGAGGCCGGAAGGGGCAGGUGGAAUUCUCGGUGUAGGGGUGAAAUCCGUUGAUAUCGAGAAGAACGCCAAUGGCGAAGGCAGCCUGCUGGUCCGGUUCUGACACUGAGGCACGAAAGCGUGGGGAGCGAACGGG
This 253-nucleotide ribosomal RNA is filed under the name uncultured bacterium. Its description in RNAcentral is "partial 16S ribosomal RNA". It matches the Rfam family "Bacterial small subunit ribosomal RNA", at positions 524 to 776 of the family's 1533-position model. The record is from RNAcentral.